Haemorhous mexicanus (house finch) is the source of this 1739-nucleotide long non-coding RNA. RefSeq lists it as uncharacterized. The record is from RefSeq and is a predicted model, not a curated record. The transcript has 3 exons. Lineage: Eukaryota; Metazoa; Chordata; Aves; Passeriformes; Fringillidae.
CUUAAGAUUGUUCUUAAGCUAUUAUCUUUCAGAAGUCUUUUUUGCUGAGAAUGAAUUCGGUUGCUGCUGCACAGACUUGUGUAGCAUCCUUUGUUAAAUAGGUGUGGCAAUGUCAUGUUGCUCUGUCUGGUUUUGGGGCUGUUUAUGUAAUGUUUCAUGGCAGCUUUUUCUUUGGUCUACCAGGUCUUGCUCUACAGGUGCCUGCCGUGUCCUGCAGCUUCCCCUGUGCAGCCAGAGGACAGGGAUGUGCCCCCAGAGCCAUCAGAGAGCAGGAGCCAACUGCAGCACCAGCAAGAGGCUUGUCCCCACCCUGCUCCCCCAGCCAGCACGGGUGACACGUAACUGUGUCACUGCCCAGGGCAGAGCUGGGCCCUGCGGCCCGGCUGGGUGUGCAGGGGUGCAACCCACAGCCACACAAACCCCACGCUGGGCACAGGGACCCUGCCAGGGCGCAGGGGGAGCCGCCGGCCACACCUCGUGUGGAGCUGCACGCUGGCAUCUGCCCCGGGAGGCUGGGCUGUAAUUACAGUGUGAAACUAGGUGGAAGUGUCUCGUGUUAAUUAAAAUGAGAUCCGGGUUGCAGAGCAGUGCCUGCUGACCCGUGUGAGUUAUCAGUGCUGGAGAGGCGGCAGCCCGGGCCGUUGCUGCGGCUGGUGAGUCACGGCUCGCUCUGGAGGAAACGCCAGCGGCUCCCGGCGCUGCGGGUGCGCUCUGUCAGGAGGUGACGUGGCUCUGAAAGUGAAAUAAUGUGGGUUUGGGGUGUUUUUCAUAGCCACUUUUAUCUCUGCCUGGUCAAUGCGGCUGCGAGGAGCAGAGAAGGAGGACUCUGAGCUCUGCAGAGGUGAUGUCCCGCUGGCAGCGCCUGGGAAAACAAGAAGAAUUUAACUGAAUUUUCAGAAAGCUGACCUAUGUUGGAAAAGAGAGAAAGCUGCUCACAGAGCACACCUGCCACCACCUGCCAGAAGGCCCUGGAAGAGAAGCCAUGAAGUGGGGAUCACCUUUGAUCACUACAAAAGUACCAAGCUCCCAGCUUCAGGUGGAUACUGCUCUGUUCUCCUCCUCCUGCUGUGAAGAGUGGCUUUGACACAUCUUUCCCUCUGCUGUGAGCUGUAUUCCUGAAAUCUGGUGUGCCCUGGUAGGACUGAAGUGUGAUAAGGGUCUUUUGGGAAAGAAUAAAAGGGAAAAAGGGGUAGAGGGGCUACCUGGGAGGGAGGUGUUAAUAAAACUCAGGAUGAAGAUCCAUAUGGUGGAAUGGGUCUGAUCCAUUGGCCUGGAGGUACCUGGCCUGGUACUUGGCCUGGAGAACAUGUGCUUUCUUUGUCUAGGUGUAAUCAAGGCUUACUCAACCAGAAUCAUUUGUCUUGAGCCAAGAGGGAAACCACAUCUGUCAUGAAAAUAAGCAGUAUAGUUCCUUAGAACUCUAUCCUUCCCACUAGGAUUCACCUGGCAUUGCAGACUCCAUUUGGCAGCUUCCUCACAUGAAGCCAUUGGCUGUAGGAUCCUUCCUGAUGCUCAGCAAGUGGCCCAACAACAACGUGUGAAAAAAUAAAGGACAGCAAAAAAAUAAAGGUACCAGCCCAGUGCUGUGCAGUGCUGCACAGGUGUGGUGAGGUGCCUCUCCCCAGCUGCACAUCACUGAAUGCUGUGCAGUGCCCAAGUCCUUGGAGGCAUCAGUGCUCCUUUGAUUCAAUACGUUUAAGAGGCUUUCUCUUGCUGCAUAAAUUGCUUUCUCGUGUCUU